AAAUCAUUCCCGGAACCCUUGAGCACGGUGAUGUCCUAUGACACCCAAGUCCAGGCACUUAGGUGAUUCUGAGCCUUCACGCAGCUGGCACAGCAGAGGCAAGAAAGAAAAGAGAGGAAAAGCCAUCUCACCCAGGAUAUUAACACCUCUGCGUCACACUUAAGACCUGCUGUGAAAACUACCCAUCCUCUGUGAAGACACCAUCCCAAGACGAGCUUGGUGGCACAGGCUUUGAAUCCAAAAUGGGAGGCCAAUGUAGGUGGAUGACAAACUGAAGAUUGGCAUGGGCUGCAGCGUCCGUCAGGGUCAGCCCAAGUGAAACCCUAUCUCAAAGGCAACAAGCAAAGCAGGGGAUGAAGCUGAGGUAGAGGGCUUACCUAGCUUCAUUGAGGCCCUGGGUUCAAGUCUAGUACUGAAAAAUGAACGAAAAUGAUCAAGAACA
Molecule: long non-coding RNA, 442 nt
Filed under: Rattus norvegicus (Norway rat)
Lineage: Eukaryota; Metazoa; Chordata; Mammalia; Rodentia; Muridae
Description: long non-coding RNA NONRATT009990
Source: RNAcentral